CCCGCCUUAACUAAGGAUAGUUAAGCCGAGUGAUCUACGACUAGGGAUGGGGUUAAAGAAUAAGGGAAAGAAAGGGGCGUCAUUUGAAACCGUAAAUCUUACUCAACCUAAGAAAAAUCGUCGUAUUUACUCAUUAAUACUCUUUUGAACAGUCUAUGAAAGACAAAAUAAAACUUAAUUAAUAUCAUUAAUCAAGUUAUACAUCAUAUGAAACCAUUCUCUUAAGACUCAAAGUAUGACAUAACAUACUAUAACAUCAACAACAUCUUGCAGCGGAAAGUAGCUAGACAUAUGUAUGAAGACAUAUUCUAGACAGGUUAACUAUUUAUUAACAACCCUGGAGACUCCGCUCAUUGCAGCACCAUCAUCACAUCAGCUCAACCUGCACAUUUAGAAAACAUAUGCAGGGCUGAGUACAAAAGCACUCAGUGGGCACGUAUACCUAGGUAUAAAAAUACAUGCUUCAAAACUGUAAAUUGUCAUGCCAUCAUAAUCAGUACAGCAAGGGAGUUUUUCGCUAAAAAGGCCCAAGCUUACUAAGUUCAUUUGUGAUUCUUAAAGUUCGUCUGAUCAGACUAAGUUCUUUUGUAAUCUAUCAUAUCUGAAACUGUGUGCCGGAGAGGUGGCCACCUCUCACGGUCACUUGACCGGCCAACCCGCUAGAUGACUCACGGUCACUGGUGUACACUAGCCCUGCAGGAUAGCUAUCAACUGCUCAGACCCGAAUUCGAUUGCAUCAUUGGCAAAGCCAAAGCAGAUAGAUAUCAUACUAAAAUUUAAACAUUUUAUGGCAAGACAAUACUUGAAAUAACUUUAACUCAAAAUUUUGUAAGAAAUAACUUGCUCAAAGUAACAUUUAAACUCAUUUGAUAUAUAUAAAACUGAAAUUAACAGUUAAAUCAUCUCAUGCAUUCAUUCGUAUAAGAGGCCUACGACAAGCAGGGGAUCUCUAUAUACGUAUAGUAAAAGUAAUGCCCACCUCGUUGUGUCUCUGUAUCAAUGAGUAACGUCACUCUCUCCCUCAAGUCGUUACUUCCCAAAAGGACCUUCAUCGUUAUGAAGAAUUGGUGAGAAGUUAUAAAAGAAACCUCGAUUAAUAAUCUAAUCUCUUUUAUGAAACAUUAGUAUCUCUAAUGUUCAUCUCUCUUGAUUGUUAAUCAAUAUAACAAUUAUUAUCUCUCGUCAUUACUCAUUAAUUAUAACAUCCUUAUGUUAUAAUUAGCAGCGCUUCAAUUAAAAGAAAUAUUUAACACAUCGAAAAGUCCACUUUCUUAGCAGAUCUAUUCGCUCUCAUCUCGUCUAAUUAACCGAUUAGAAAGUUAAACUUUCCAUUAGGCAUGUAUUUGAGUCACGGGUCAACAAGAAUUGACUAUGCUCAAAUUCUAAUUUCACUAAAAAUUUCGGCAUGACCUAUUCAUAUAUAAUGUCAGCCACGAGAUUUCAACGCGUGAAUCUCACUACGUGAACUCGUCUCUCGACUCAAAACUUAACAUCUUGACAUCUUUUCAACGCAAACCAAACAAUUCAAAAUCAUCAAAACUCUUUAUCAGUAAACUAUCAUUUAUACUCGACACCAAUUGUUCGAGUGUCAGAUACCAACAUUUAUGUGCGUUAAUCAUAACUCUCACAACUCACACCAUUUAGUCAUAUCGUAUCAUCCAUCAAAACAAAUAUAAUCAAGUUGUUUUCUAGAAAGUUUUGCUGUUUUUGUGUCAUCUUUAAAAAUUCAUAACAACCAACUCAAUCAUCAUAAACUAUCAUACCAAUUGAUCUCAAAAACUUCAUGAAGUGUAGUUCACUCUAAAAAUGGUAGUUAACCAAAAAGGUUAAAGGUUUUUGGAGAUAUUGCUCUUUUAGUGCAGGCUGUCAAAGAUUGACAGUUUCUGCCUAAUUUUGUUUAGGCCAUUAGAAACCAAGGCAAACCUUAAUAAAAUUCCAUCAAAUUUAAUCAUACCAAAACUAAAGGUAUCCUUGAAGUAUUUGGUUAAAUUUUCACAAGAGAAAACGUUCAUAUGAUCUGCCAAAUAAACAAUGAAACUCAUACACUUUUACUGUUGGACAAAUAUGACAGCAGAACAGGGCAUUUUUGAAAUAAUAAACUGCUCUGUUUCAGAGGUCAUAAAAAAUCGAAAUCUUAUGUUUUUAGAAAGUAUUGAAGUCUAGUUUCGUUUAAAAAAAACGGUGAUGCAAAAUCCUUCAUGGAUUAAUAGAUAUAAACGUUUUUGUGUAAGUCUACCAAUAGUUGACAGAUUCUGUCAAGGAUUUUUCAAAAUAUCUUUAAAAUAGCAAACAUCAUCCAAAAGCAUGUAAUUUGACAAGAAACGAAUACACAUAUCAAUAGAUAAACAUACUAAAAUUUCAGAGCCAUCAAGCAAUGAAAACUCAUCGAAACAUAAGCUUGAAACUGCUGUAAAAUUUUGACAGAAUUCCAGUUUUAAUUUCGUUCAACCAAUUAUCAUCCAUAAAUUGUAAAUCAAUUAGCAUGCUCAUGUGAUAUCGUAGAACACAUAUACGCAAUAAUAUUCAUUAUGCAACGUCCCAAACUUCACGAAUUUAAAUAAUCAUGCUCUAAAAACUUAUACAAUUUUCGUGCUUGGAAAAAUACGAAUUUAAUAUAUAUCGAUCCUAGCAUACCCCUAAGCACAAAUAUCAAGUCAAAACGAUCAAACAAAAAUCGAAAGACAAGCUAAUAUGUGAAAAACGGGGCUGCCCUCAUGGGUUUCAUAGCUACGGUUCGUUCCGUUCUUACUCCCUUCAUUAAACAUGCUCAACAUCUACCCAAGAACAACAUACUAAAAUUUCACGACGAUCCGACGUCGUUUCAAAAUAAAGUCGAGAAUCGACGUUUUUCGACGUCGACGAAAAUCGAAAAUAAAACCAUCAAAACGUAGGUAGAGAUCUUACCUACUUAGAUACAUGAUCGAAAAGAUGAUCGGCGCUCGUCUCGGUGCUCAAAUCGGAGCUUGAAACCUCCGUCCAAGCUAAAAAUGGUGUUUGGCGUGUUUGAGUGUGAGUGUGUGAGAGAG
This 3026-nucleotide long non-coding RNA is filed under the name Salvia miltiorrhiza (redroot sage). RNAcentral's name for it is "long non-coding RNA (SMIL_LNC002858)". Lineage: Eukaryota; Viridiplantae; Streptophyta; Magnoliopsida; Lamiales; Lamiaceae. The record is from RNAcentral.